Molecule: ribosomal RNA, 776 nt
Filed under: uncultured Neocallimastigales
Lineage: Eukaryota; Fungi; Neocallimastigomycota; Neocallimastigomycetes; Neocallimastigales
Description: partial large subunit ribosomal RNA
Rfam family: Eukaryotic large subunit ribosomal RNA
Source: RNAcentral
AUCUCUGUAGAGUCUGCAUAUCAAAUAAGCGGAGGAAAAGAAACUAACAAGGAUUCCCUUAGUAACGGCGAGUGAAGCGGGAAGAGCUCAAAUUUGAAAUCUUCAAGGUUCUACCUUGACGAAUUGUAGUUUAUAGAAGUGUUUUCUGUUAGUAGAGUGGCAAAAGUUCUUUGGAAUAGGACAUCAUAGAGGGUGAGAAUCCCGUAUUUGGUCAUUCUUUCUAGCUUUGUGAUACACUUUCAACGAGUCGGAUUGUUUGGGAAUGCAGUCCAAAAUGGGUGGUAAAUUUCAUCUAAAGCUAAAUAUUAGCGAGAGACCGAUAGCGAACAAGUACCGUGAGGGAAAGAUGAAAAGAACUUUGAAAAGAGAGUUAAACAGUACGUGAAAUUGUCAAAAGGGAAGCGUUUGACACCAGUGUUGUUUUUCCGAAAAUCAAUUACGAAUGUUUUGUUUUUGAGAAGUUAUGACUUCAUCGGCUUGCUUCUUUCUUUACGAAACUUUCUUAAUGCACUUUUCGGUUAACAAGUCAACAUCAAUUUCUUUUGUUGUAAAAGGGUCAUUGAGGAAGGUGGCUUUCUUUUCGGAGAAAGUGUUUAUAGCCUUUGGCCUCUGCAAUCGGAGAGAUUGAGGUCUGCAGCGUAGAUCCUUCGGGGUUAGAUACAUUUGUGCUAAGCUAUAGCCUUUCAUAGACAACUUGUUGACUAUGAUCAGUCAUGUAGCUUACUCGCUUAUGCUAUUUUACCUACGCUUAGGAUGUUGAUGUGAUACUGCGAGCA